RNAcentral lists this unclassified non-coding RNA (664 nucleotides) under Phialophora japonica. RNAcentral's name for it is "sequence contains 18S rRNA gene, ITS1, 5.8S rRNA gene, ITS2, 28S rRNA gene". The stretch from base 249 to 402 matches the Rfam family "5.8S ribosomal RNA". Lineage: Eukaryota; Fungi; Ascomycota; Eurotiomycetes; Chaetothyriales; Herpotrichiellaceae. The record is from RNAcentral.
GUAACAAGGUUUCCGUAGGUGAACCUGCGGAAGGAUCAUUAUCGAGUUAGGGUCUCUCACGGCCCGAUCUCCAACCCUGUGUCUAUAUUACCAUGUUGCUUCGGCGGGCCCGUCCAUCUCGGUGGACCGCCGGGGGGUCACUCGAACCUCCUGGCCCGCGCCCGUCGAUGGCCGCUAUAUCUAACUCUUGGUACAACCAUGUCAGUCUGAGUACACGUGUGGAAACACACCUUUUAAAAACUUGAAAAAACUUUCAACAACGGAUCUCUUGGUUCUGGCAUCGAUGAAGAACGCAGCGAAAUGCGAUAAGUAAUGCGAAUUGCAGAAUUACGUGAGUCAUCGAAUCUUUGAACGCACAUUGCGCCCUUUGGUAUUCCGAAGGGCAUGCCUGUUCGAGCGUCAUUAUCACCCCUCAAGCCUUCGGCUUGGUGUUGGACUGUCUAAGACCGCGGCCCUGUGGGCUUCGGUCGGUCCGAAAGAUAAUGGCGACGUCCGGUCGGGACCUCGAUACACUGAGCUCGUUUGUUUCUACAACAGCACGUAUCGCAGCGGCCGCCGGGCUUGGUCGUCUCUCCACCUCGCGUCGAGCGGGGGACGGUUACACGUCUCCUCUCGCAUCAAGGUUGACCUCGGAUCAGGUAGGAAUACCCGCUGAACCUAAGCA